ACUCAAAUGAAUUGACGGGGACCCGCACAAGCGGUGGAGCAUGUGGUUUAAUUCGACAAUACGCGAGGAACCUUACCAGAUCUUGACAUAUACAGGGAUAAUACAGAGAUGUAUUAGCUUGUAGCAAUACAAGCUUGUAAACAGGUGGUGCAUGGCUGUCGUCAGCUCGUGCCGUGAGGUGUUGGAUUAAGUUCCGCAACGAGCGCAACCCCUGCAUUUAGUAGCUACAUUAAGUUGAGCACUCUAAAUGGACGGUCUGCGAGAGCAGAAGGAAGGUGGGGACGAGGUCAAGUCAUCAUGCCCCUUACGAUCUGGGCUACACACGUGCUACAAUGGGAAGGAACAAAGGGAAGCGAAAUAGCAAUAUGGAGCAAAUCUCAUAAAACUUUCCUCAGUUCAGAUUGCAGUCUGCAACUCGACUGCAUGAAGUCGGAAUCGCUAGUAAUCGCGUAUCAGCAACGACGCGGUGAAUACGUUCUCGGGUCUUGUACACACCGCCCGU
This 502-nucleotide ribosomal RNA is filed under the name uncultured bacterium. RNAcentral's name for it is "partial 16S ribosomal RNA". It matches the Rfam family "Bacterial small subunit ribosomal RNA", at positions 899 to 1397 of the family's 1533-position model. The record is from RNAcentral.